RNAcentral lists this ribosomal RNA (102 nucleotides) under Otolemur garnettii (small-eared galago). The record is from RNAcentral. Lineage: Eukaryota; Metazoa; Chordata; Mammalia; Primates; Galagidae.
GUCUAUGGCUAUACCACCCUGAUGGUACCCAGUCUUGGAAGCUAAACAGUGUGGAGACAAAUUUGGAUGGGAGACUGCCCAGGAAUAUGGGUGCCAUAAGCU